RNAcentral lists this transfer RNA (75 nucleotides) under Clostridiales bacterium. RNAcentral's name for it is "tRNA-Arg". It matches the Rfam family "tRNA". Rfam says of the family: Transfer RNA (tRNA) molecules are approximately 80 nucleotides in length. Their secondary structure includes four short double-helical elements and three loops (D, anti-codon, and T loops). The record is from RNAcentral. Lineage: Bacteria; Bacillati; Bacillota; Clostridia; Eubacteriales.
GCACCCAUAGUGAAAUGGAUAUCACGAAAGUCUACGGAACUUUUAUUUCAGGUUCGAGCCCUGAUGGGUGCACCA